AUCAACUGGAAACUACAAACAAGAGGGUGUUGCUGGCAGAAACGAUUAGUCAGUUAAGUUUUACUUCUGGUGAUACUAGUAUCUGAAUUAAUCGAUUAGGUAAAGUGGGUUGUUUUGCCCAGGCAAGUGCAUUGGUUCCACAUACAGAGCAAAGGGUCAUGUCCAAGAAGAGGAUGGUUUGCUGAGGAGAUGCUCUGAAGAACCUUGGGUACCAGGUCUGUGUAGUGAUGGCACUUCCAGAAUAGCCAGCGGUAGUCUAUAGUUUCAAAACUAUUAAUGUGAUGCUGCUCUACAUACAGAGUGACUGAAGGCAUACUCUGCAGUGGGACUGGAAGCCAGAGCUGAAGAACGACCACUCACAAGAAAUGAGCCUCCUUGUUGCAGCAGGUUAUACACGGUCACUGUUCCUCUUGAUUGCCAUACUCCCAGUUGGCAUCUGUCAUUUAAAUCCCAAAUGGAAUGUCAUUGCUCUGACAACUCUAGGACUCCAAUAUUUGAAACAUUAGUUACACUUUCUUAAAUGCUCUACUAUUUUCUUCACAGCUCCCACAAUACACAGAAAUUCAGGUGUCUAUGUGCUCAA
This is a long non-coding RNA of Peromyscus eremicus (cactus mouse), 583 nucleotides long. RefSeq lists it as uncharacterized. The transcript is spliced from 3 exons. Lineage: Eukaryota; Metazoa; Chordata; Mammalia; Rodentia; Cricetidae. The record is from RefSeq and is a predicted model, not a curated record.